RNAcentral lists this long non-coding RNA (1210 nucleotides) under Capsicum annuum. RNAcentral describes it as "long non-coding RNA (CANN_LNC020411)". The record is from RNAcentral. Lineage: Eukaryota; Viridiplantae; Streptophyta; Magnoliopsida; Solanales; Solanaceae.
UCCCCAGCCAAAUGAGUACACUUUCAAUUUUUGUGCGAUAAAAUAGAAUGAAUCAUUCACCCACAUAUUCAAACACUCAACCAAUAGUUAUUCAUACAUUUGUCUACCCAGCCUACCAUUUGCCUACCAAUUUCACCCUAUCAUGAUGCUAUCAUGUUCCAAACAAUAUCCUGCUUAUUCUGAAUUAAACAACAAUAAAUCAAAAUUAAUCUAAACUCACCUUUUUUGUCAAUUUCUCAAUUCCAUCCCAAAAAACCAAUUUUACUUUUCAAAUGAGAUAUCUCUUCAACAUGAAAAUCAUGAUUAAGAAAACCAACCGCAAAUCGAAACAACACGCAUUCAUCACCAACAAGGGUCAAACAAUACAUGAUAUUUUAUUCAAUGCAUCGGAUAUCAUCAAUAAUGAAAUAAAAAGAGGUGCAAGAGUAGAAUUGGACCUCAUUUGAAGCUUUCGAACUCAAUGUUAUUCGAAUAAAGAGAAUCCACGCCCAGAAACCUCGAAACGAACCUCAAACAAACAACUCAUCCAAAUCAAAACUGAGAAUCAUAAAAACAAAGAGACCUGGACCAGAUUCUCACAAACCCACACAACCUCGAACUAAAAAUCAUGAGAAAUAAGAGAAAUUUAGCCCAGUUCCAAUGGGUUUGGACGAAAUCAAAAGCAGAUCGAGGUUUGUUUGAUGAUUAUGUAUCGCUGCAACCCCGAUAAACUUUGGAUAUGACCAAAAUGACAAAGAGAUAUCAGUUGAGACGUAUUUCGAUGGGUUUUGAACAAAUUUGUGACAGUUAGAUGCGAUUCCGGUGAGUUUGUCACCAAAAAGUAAUCCAAUGACCAAAGUCGUGUUCCUCAAGCUCUCACUCACUGGAAACUGCUUCGCCAUCAUUCUCUUUCGAUUUCAAUUGCGAAUCCCUCCCUCUCUCGCAAAUCUCUAUCACUCUCUCGCAGAUCUCUCUUACUCUCUCGCAGCUCUCUCUCUCUCUGUCCGUGUGUCUGUUGUGUAUAUCUAUUCUGUGUAUGUAAGUGUAUUCGAUGAACCAAGAAGAAGAAAAAGAAAGGUUUAUGUGUAUGUUUUUUUUGUUCUUUUUCUCCCCCAGAUCCUGGAAUCCCCCCUCAACGAAAAAUGGAGUGUUCUAUAUAUGUAUUUGUCCAGUGAAGAAGAUAUCCCUUUUUUUUUGCUUUUUGGAGAUGAAAUGAUAGGGGGGUCAUGUG